CAAUAGCGUAUAUUUAAGUUGUUGCAGUUAAAAAGCUCGUAGUUGGAUUUCGGGUGGGACGCAGCGGUCUCGCAUUGCGUUUGUACUGCUGCAGCCCUCCUUCUUGCCGGGGGCGGCCUCUCGGACUUCACUGUCUGGGGGUCAGAAUCGGCGAUGUUACUUUGAGUAAAUUAGAGUGUUCAAAGCAAGCUUACGCUCUGAAUAUAAUAGCAUGGGAUAACACGACAGGACUCUGGCCUAUCGUGUUGGUCUAUAGGACCAGAGUAAUGAUUAAGAGGGACAGUCGGGGGCAUUCGUAUUCCGUUGUCAGAGGUGAAAUUCUUGGAUUUACGGAAGUCGAACAUCUGCGAAAGCAUUUGCCAAGGAUGUUUUCAUUGA
Molecule: ribosomal RNA, 378 nt
Filed under: uncultured eukaryote
Lineage: Eukaryota
Description: partial 18S ribosomal RNA
Rfam family: Eukaryotic small subunit ribosomal RNA
Source: RNAcentral